RNAcentral lists this ribosomal RNA (366 nucleotides) under Clostridioides difficile. RNAcentral describes it as "partial 23S ribosomal RNA". It matches the Rfam family "Bacterial large subunit ribosomal RNA", at positions 2557 to 2925 of the family's 2925-position model. The record is from RNAcentral. Lineage: Bacteria; Bacillati; Bacillota; Clostridia; Peptostreptococcales; Peptostreptococcaceae.
AGUAGGUCCCAAGGGUUGGGCUGUUCGCCCAUUAAAGUGGUACGCGAGCUGGGUUCAGAACGUCGUGAGACAGUUCGGUCCCUAUCCGUCGCAGGCGUAGGAAAUUUGAGAAGACCUGUCCUUAGUACGAGAGGACCGGGAUGGACGUACCUCUGGUGUACCAGUUGUUCUGCCAAGGGCAUGGCUGGGUAGCUAUGUACGGAAUGGAUAAGCGCUGAAAGCAUCUAAGCGCGAAGCCAACUUCAAGAUAAGAUUUCCCACCGCAAGGGUAAGACCCCAGAAAGACUAUCUGGUUGAUAGGUCGAAGGUGUAAGUGCAGCAAUGUAUUUAGCUUAUCGAUACUAAUAGGUCGAGGACUUGACCAAU